Molecule: ribosomal RNA, 377 nt
Filed under: uncultured bacterium
Lineage: Bacteria
Description: bacterial SSU rRNA
Rfam family: Bacterial small subunit ribosomal RNA
Source: RNAcentral
AUACGUAUGUCCCGAGCGUUAUCCGGAUUUAUUGGGCGUAAAGCGAGCGCAGACGGUUUAUUAAGUCUGAUGUGAAAGCCUUCGGCUCAACCGAAGAAGUGCAUCGGAAACUGGGAAACUUGAGUGCAGAAGAGGACAGUGGAACUCCAUGUGUAGCGGUGAAAUGCGUAGAUAUAUGGAAGAACACCAGUGGCGAAGGCGGCUGUCUGGUCUGUAACUGACGCUGAGGCUCGAAAGUAUGGGUAGCAAACAGGAUUAGAUACCCUGGUAGUCCAUACCGUAAACGAUGAAUGCUAAGUGUUGGAGGGUUUCCGCCCUUCAGUGCCGCAGCUAACGCAUUAAGCAUUCCGCCUGGGGAGUACGACCGCAAGGUUGAA